Molecule: ribosomal RNA, 293 nt
Filed under: uncultured bacterium
Lineage: Bacteria
Description: partial 16S ribosomal RNA
Rfam family: Bacterial small subunit ribosomal RNA
Source: RNAcentral
GGACGCAGCCUGAUCCAGCCAUGCCGCGUGCAGGAUGAAGGCCUUCGGGUUGUAAACUGCUUUUGUACGGAACGAAAAAGCUCUCUCUAAUAAAGGGGGUGAAUGACGGUACCGUAAGAAUAAGCACCGGCUAACUACGUGCCAGCAGCCGCGGUAAUACGUAGGGUGCAAGCGUUAAUCGGAAUUACUGGGCGUAAAGCGUGCGCAGGCGGUUAUGUAAGACAGAGGUGAAAUCCCCGGGCUCAACCUGGGAACUGCCUUUGUGACUGCAUAGCUGGAGUUUGGCAGAGGGA